RNAcentral lists this ribosomal RNA (468 nucleotides) under uncultured bacterium. Its description in RNAcentral is "partial 16S ribosomal RNA". It matches the Rfam family "Bacterial small subunit ribosomal RNA", at positions 28 to 507 of the family's 1533-position model. The record is from RNAcentral.
GACGAACGCUGGCGGCGUGCUUAACACAUGCAAGUCGAACGGAAAGGCCCUGCUUUUGUGGGGUGCUCGGGUGGCGAACGGGUGAGUAACACGUGAGUAACCUGCCCUUGACUUUGGGAUAACUUCAGGAAACUGGGGCUAAUACCGGAUAGGAGCUCCUGCUGCAUGGUGGGGGUUGGAAAGUUUCGGCGGUUGGGGAUGGACUCGCGGCUUAUCAGCUUGUUGGUGGGGUAGUGGCUUACCAAGGCUUUGACGGGUAGCCGGCCUGAGAGGGUGACCGGCCACAUUGGGACUGAGAUACGGCCCAGACUCCUACGGGAGGCAGCAGUGGGGAAUAUUGCACAAUGGGCGGAAGCCUGAUGCAGCAACGCCGCGUGCGGGAUGACGGCCUUCGGGUUGUAAACCGCUUUCGCCUGUGACGAAGCGUGAGUGACGGUAAUGGGUAAAGAAGCACCGGCUAACUACAUG